GAUAGGAACCUGUCGCUACUGUGAUUGGACACUGACACAGAGUCAACUAGCCUUGGUCGGGCGGUUCUUCGCUCGGCGGAACCGGAGCGGUCCGAACCACGAGGGGGGAGGUUCGGACCGCCCGCU
Molecule: non-coding RNA, 126 nt
Filed under: Streptomyces griseoaurantiacus M045
Lineage: Bacteria; Bacillati; Actinomycetota; Actinomycetes; Kitasatosporales; Streptomycetaceae
Description: Streptomyces RNA 3920
Rfam family: Streptomyces RNA 3920
About the family: Identified by deep sequencing of transcriptome at the end of exponential growth phase. Sequencing size consistent with northern blot size. Streptomyces specific.
Source: Rfam by way of RNAcentral